This 493-nucleotide ribosomal RNA is filed under the name uncultured bacterium. RNAcentral's name for it is "bacterial SSU rRNA". It matches the Rfam family "Bacterial small subunit ribosomal RNA", at positions 28 to 524 of the family's 1533-position model. The record is from RNAcentral.
GAUGAACGCUAGCGGAAGGCUUAAUACAUGCAAGUCGAGCGGUAGGUGGCUUCGGCCAUUGAGAGCGGCGCACGGGUGAGUAACGCGUACAUGACCCGCCUGUCAGAAGGGGAUAGCCCUGGGAAACUGGGAUUAAUACCCUAUGGUAUUGAUAUUAUGAAUGAUAUCAAUUAAAGUUGAGGCGCUGACAGAUGGAUGUGCGUCUGAUUAGCUAGUUGGUAGGGUAACGGCCUACCAAGGCGACGAUCAGUAGGGGGCGUGAGAGCGUGGUCCCCCACACGGGUACUGAGACACGGACCCGACUCCUACGGGAGGCAGCAGUAAGGAAUAUUGGUCAAUGCCCGCAAGGGUGAACCAGCCAUUCCGCGUGGAGGAUGAAGGCCCUAUGGGUUGUAAACUUCUUUUAGAUGGGAAGAAAAUGCUAGAUGUAUCUGGUACUGACGGUACCAUCAGAAUAAGCACCGGCUAACUCCGUGCCAGCAGCCGCGGUAAU